RNAcentral lists this ribosomal RNA (253 nucleotides) under uncultured bacterium. RNAcentral's name for it is "partial 16S ribosomal RNA". It matches the Rfam family "Bacterial small subunit ribosomal RNA", at positions 524 to 776 of the family's 1533-position model. The record is from RNAcentral.
UACGGGGGGGGCAAGCGUUGUUCGGAAUUACUGGGCGUAAAGGGCUCGUAGGCGGCCAACUAAGUCAGACGUGAAAUCCCUCGGCUUAACCGGGGAACUGCCUCUGAUACUGGAUGGCUUGAGAUUGGGAGAGGGAUGCGGAAUUCCAGGUGUAGCGGUGAAAUGCGUAGAUAUCUGGAGGAACACCUGCGGUGUAGACGGCUUUCUGGACCAUUACUGACACUGAGACACGAAAGCGUGGGUAGCAAACAGG